GAGCACCAGCCUCCUAAUAGUAACUCUCUGUGCAAACCCUGCUGGGAUGUGACGUCCUUCUCUGACAGAAGUAGUCAUGGGAGUUGCUGAUGGACAGUCACGGUGAAUGUUCCUCAGCAGUCCAAGCAGGAUGUUUUUACAAAUCUCUUGCUGAAAGUCUCAGAUCUGCUGUUUUUCCUCAUGAGAAUUGCAGACGGGAAGGCGGAUCGUUGCAGCUCAAGUUUAAAGCAGCAAGUAGCAAGUCAAGAUCCCUCAGAAGAUAGAUCACCACUUGGAAGGAGCCAUGACACUGAGUCUCUGCGCUUACUCCGCACUCUGGAACGGGCCCUGCUCUUUGGUUCUGCCCCUCUGCAAGCACGAGGCCAGCCUUGA
This 372-nucleotide long non-coding RNA is filed under the name Calidris pugnax (ruff). RNAcentral's name for it is "lncRNA (ENSCPUG00000018007.1)". The record is from RNAcentral. Lineage: Eukaryota; Metazoa; Chordata; Aves; Charadriiformes; Scolopacidae.